UGAGGAAUAUUGGUCAAUGGGCGAGAGCCUGAACCAGCCAAGUAGCGUGCAGGAUGACGGCCCUAUGGGUUGUAAACUGCUUUUAUGCGGGGAUAAAGUGAGGGACGUGUCCCGUUUUGUAUGUACCGUAUGAAUAAGGACCGGCUAAUUCCGUG
Molecule: ribosomal RNA, 155 nt
Filed under: uncultured bacterium
Lineage: Bacteria
Description: partial 16S ribosomal RNA
Rfam family: Bacterial small subunit ribosomal RNA
Source: RNAcentral